Molecule: ribosomal RNA, 551 nt
Filed under: Asterionellopsis glacialis
Lineage: Eukaryota; Bacillariophyta; Plagiogrammaphyceae; Rhaphoneidales; Asterionellopsidaceae
Description: partial Bacterial small subunit ribosomal RNA
Rfam family: Bacterial small subunit ribosomal RNA
Source: RNAcentral
GGGAGGCAGCAGGUGGGAAUAUUGCACAAUGGGCGCAAGCCUGAUGCAGCGACGCCGCGUGAGGGAUGACGGCCUUCGGGUUGUAAACCUCUUUCAGUAGGGAAGAAGCGAAAGUGACGGUACCUGCAGAAGAAGCACCGGCCAACUACGUGCCAGCAGCCGCGGUAAUACGUAGGGUGCAAGCGUUGUCCGGAAUUAUUGGGCGUAAAGAGCUCGUAGGCGGUUUGUUGCGUCGGCUGUGAAAACCUGAGGCUCAACCUCAGGCCUGCAGUCGAUACGAGCAGACUAGAGUGUUGCAGGGGAGACUGGAAUUCCUGGUGUAGCGGUGAAAUGCGCAGAUAUCAGGAGGAACACCGGUGGCGAAGGCGGGUCUCUGGGCCGAUACUGACGCUGAGGAGCGAAAGCAUGGGGAGCGAACAGGAUUAGAUACCCUGGUAGUCCAUGCCGUAAACGUUGGGCACUAGGUGUGGGGACCAUUCCACGGUUUCCGCGCCGCAGCUAACGCAUUAAGUGCCCCGCCUGGGGAGUACGGCCGCAAGGUUAAAACUCAA